Long non-coding RNA from Capsicum annuum, 1263 nucleotides. RefSeq lists it as uncharacterized. The record is from RefSeq and is a predicted model, not a curated record. NCBI's taxonomy places the organism in Eukaryota, Viridiplantae, Streptophyta, Magnoliopsida, Solanales, Solanaceae. The transcript has 4 exons.
UCAUAUGCAUAAGAUAAAAUGGGACUGAGGAGUAUCUCCCUUUUUCCUUAGCUGUUCACUUUUCCCAUUUCAGUAGUUACGCUUCCACAGCUUCUCUGCAAAUAUCUUCACACCCAAAAACUCCAAAAUCAAAAUCUCUUCUCACCUCCAUCUCACUAGAAAUUUUACCUGGAUUUUGAAAAAACAGAAAAACGAGUGUGAUGUUAAUCUUUCAGCCGCCUGGUGGGAUGUAGAAAAUGCAGAUUUCUGCAUCAAAAAAAAUGCAAAAAAGCAAUGGAUAGGGUCCCUUUUGUCCGUCGCUUUUUUGAAAUACAUUUUCAGAAAUGGGUCGCUUUGCAGCGCUUUUUAAAUCAAGAACUUUUUUUUAAAAGAAAAACGAUGAUGAUCGUCGCUUUUUUAUUCAUUAUGAAGAACAAAAAGUGACGAUCAAUGUUGCUUUUUCAAUCAUUAUGAAGAACAAAAGGCGACAACCAACGUCGCUUUUUCUAAAAAAAUAUUUUAUUUUUCUUAAAUUACGACGGACAGUGUCAAUUUUUCUGAAAAAAAAUUAUUUUUCCUUCAAUAAAAUGACGAUGUCCGUCACUUUUUGUUCAUCAUUUGUUCUUCACACGAAGAAUAAAAAAUGAAGCACGUUGCUUUUUUAAAAAAAACAAAAAAAAAAUUCUUAAAAGCGACGUGGUCCGUCGUAAUAAAAACGAUACAAGCCAUUGUUUUCAAAAAAACGACCCUUUUUGCGACGCAAAAUAAAGCGACACUUUUCCAUCGCUUCUGGCCAAAAAAGGGAUAUUGGCCAUCGCUUUUGACAGUCACUUUUUAGCAUUUUUUUUAGUAGUGAUGUGUGUGUCCAUACAGCGGACCGUCAAGAUACUUCCUUGAGCUGUGUGGUUCUCUCACAAGACAGCUGCUUAGCUUAGUGGGUGGCGCCUGACAUUUCUAACACUUUGUUUGCAGGAUGGGAAGGGUAAGGCCAAACAUGAAGUGGCUGGAGAGCUAUAAUACCCGGUACAGGUGCUCAGUAUCAGCAACGUAAGUAGUUUGAGAAUCUCCAUCUACAUCCGACAGUUGGUGAGUCUUCAUAGUUCAAGGACUUAAUCAUUCAAGAUUUUGCAGCUUAUCAGUUUAUAUGAUUCAGUAUUCUUUUCAGACAGUUCGAGUUAGCUGGGGGUCUGUCCCAGUGACUCUCUAGUUGUUAGUAGUAGAGGCUUGUCAGACUGCUAGAUUUGAUUUAGACUUAUAAUAUGUGAUUUUUAGAGAUUAUAUUCA